This 381-nucleotide unclassified non-coding RNA is filed under the name fungal sp. RNAcentral's name for it is "partial internal transcribed spacer region". The stretch from base 1 to 46 matches the Rfam family "Eukaryotic small subunit ribosomal RNA", at positions 1786 to 1831 of the family's 1831-position model. Lineage: Eukaryota; Fungi. The record is from RNAcentral.
AAGUCGUAACAAGGUUUCCGUAGGUGAACCUGCGGAAGGAUCAUUAACACGUGUAAACGUAUUAAUCAUCACCUUUCUUACAACCCGUGAAUCAAAACUCUACCUAGUAACAUAGGACUGACUUUGUAUCGAUAGUAGUAGGAUAUGCCAAAAGCAUAUGUAAUCGUAUGAAGUCAUCAGAUUCGUCUGAAGGUUCUAUGUUCAUUAGGCUUAUUUUUUCUCUUUUUUUCCCCUACUACAAAAAAGGAAAAAACCAAAACUAACCAAUUUCGCCUUUAUAAAACAUUAGUCUGAUGUAUGUUGAAUGUCAAGAAAUUGACUGGUUCAACACCAUUUAUCUUAAACUAAGCACAACUCUUAGCAAUGGAUAUCUUGGUUCUC